ACCAGACUCCUACGGGAGGCAGCAGUGGGGAAUAUUGCACAAUGGGGGGAACCCUGAUGCAGCGACGCCGCGUGAGUGAAGAAGUAUUUCGGUAUGUAAAGCUCUAUCAGCAGGGAAGAAAAUGACGGUACCUGACUAAGAAGCCCCGGCUAACUACGUGCCAGCAGCCGCGGUAAUACGUAGGGGGCAAGCGUUAUCCGGAUUUACUGGGUGUAAAGGGAGCGCAGACGGCUGUGCAAGUCUGGAGUGAAAGGCGGGGGCCCAACCCCCGGACUGCUCUGGAAACUGUAAAGCUGGAGUGCAGGAGAGGUAAGCGGAAUUCCUAGUGUAGCGGUGAAAUGCGUAGAUAUUAGGAGGAACACCAGUGGCGAAGGCGGCUUACUGGACUGCAACUGACGUUGAGGCUCGAAAGCGUGGGGAGCAAACAGGAUUAGAUACCCUAGUAC
This 446-nucleotide ribosomal RNA is filed under the name uncultured bacterium. RNAcentral describes it as "bacterial SSU rRNA". It matches the Rfam family "Bacterial small subunit ribosomal RNA", at positions 330 to 793 of the family's 1533-position model. The record is from RNAcentral.